UGCGAAAGGUGCUAGCGUUGUUCGGAAUUACUGGGCGUAAAGCGCACGUAGGCGGCCUUGUAAGAUGGGGGUGAAAUCCCCGGGCUCAACCCGGGAACUGCCUUCAUGACUGCAAAGCUAGAGGAUGCGAGAGGUUAGCUGAAUUCCGAGUGUAGAGGUGAAAUUCGUAGAUAUUCGGAAGAACACCAGUGGCGAAGGCGGCUAACUGGCGCAUUUCUGACGCUGAGGUGCGAAAGCGUGGGGAGCAAACAGG
Molecule: ribosomal RNA, 253 nt
Filed under: uncultured bacterium
Lineage: Bacteria
Description: partial 16S ribosomal RNA
Rfam family: Bacterial small subunit ribosomal RNA
Source: RNAcentral